UUCUGUUUAUUAUAAGCGCUCGCUGGAGUUUUGUCGUCUGCUGGUUUAAAUGCUUAAGCUCUUUAAAUUCGGCUGGAUUCUGAUUGGCUGUCAAUGUUUUUAUCAUCCAUCUGCU
This is a long non-coding RNA of Sinocyclocheilus anshuiensis, 115 nucleotides long. RefSeq lists it as uncharacterized. Lineage: Eukaryota; Metazoa; Chordata; Actinopteri; Cypriniformes; Cyprinidae. The record is from RefSeq and is a predicted model, not a curated record. The transcript is spliced from 3 exons.